RNAcentral lists this ribosomal RNA (1016 nucleotides) under Salmonella enterica subsp. enterica serovar Enteritidis. RNAcentral describes it as "partial 23S ribosomal RNA". It matches the Rfam family "Bacterial large subunit ribosomal RNA", at positions 161 to 1218 of the family's 2925-position model. Lineage: Bacteria; Pseudomonadati; Pseudomonadota; Gammaproteobacteria; Enterobacterales; Enterobacteriaceae. The record is from RNAcentral.
AAUCCAUAGGUUAAUGAGGCGAACCGGGGGAACUGAAACAUCUAAGUACCCCGAGGAAAAGAAAUCAACCGAGAUUCCCCCAGUAGCGGCGAGCGAACGGGGAGGAGCCCAGAGCCUGAAUCAGCAUGUGUGUUAGUGGAAGCGUCUGGAAAGGCGCGCGAUACAGGGUGACAGCCCCGUACACAAAAGCGCAUGUGCUGUGAGCUCGAUGAGUAGGGCGGGACACGUGGUAUCCUGUCUGAAUAUGGGGGGACCAUCCUCCAAGGCUAAAUACUCCUGACUGACCGAUAGUGAACCAGUACCGUGAGGGAAAGGCGAAAAGAACCCCGGCGAGGGGAGUGAAAAAGAACCUGAAACCGUGUACGUACAAGCAGUGGGAGCACCCUUUGGGUGUGACUGCGUACCUUUUGUAUAAUGGGUCAGCGACUUAUAUUCUGUAGCAAGGUUAACCGAAUAGGGGAGCCGGAGGGAAACCGAGUCUUAAUUGGGCGUUAAGUUGCAGGGUAUAGACCCGAAACCCGGUGAUCUAGCCAUGGGCAGGUUGAAGGUUGGGUAACACUAACUGGAGGACCGAACCGACUAAUGUUGAAAAAUUAGCGGAUGACCUGUGGCUGGGGGUGAAAGGCCAAUCAAACCGGGAGAUAGCUGGUUCUCCCCGAAAGCUAUUUAGGUAGCGCCUCGUGAAUUCAUCUCCGGGGGUAGAGCACUGUUUCGGCUAGGGGGCCAUCCCGGCUUACCAACCCGAUGCAAACUGCGAAUACCGGAGAAUGUUAUCACGGGAGACACACGGCGGGUGCUAACGUCCGUCGUGAAGAGGGAAACAACCCAGACCGCCAGCUAAGGUCCCAAAGUCAUGGUUAAGUGGGAAACGAUGUGGGAAGGCCCAGACAGCCAGGAUGUUGGCUUAGAAGCAGCCAUCAUUUAAAGAAAGCGUAAUAGCUCACUGGUCGAGUCGGCCUGCGCGGAAGAUGUAACGGGGCUAAACCAUGCACCGAAGCUGCGGCAGCGACACUGUG